CCUACGGGUGGCAGCAGUGAGGAAUAUUGGUCAAUGGACGGAAGUCUGAACCAGCCAUGCCGCGUGCAGGAUGAAGGCUCUAUGAGUUGUAAACUGCUUUUGUACGAGAAUAAUAGUUCUUACGUGUAGGGAUUUGAGUGUAUCGUACGAAUAAGGAUCGGCUACCUCCGUGCCAGCAGCCGCGGUAAUACGGAGGAUGCGAGCGUGAUCCGGAUUUAUUGGGUUUAAAGGGUGCGUAGGCGGACUGUUAAGUCAGCGGUAAAAGCCCGGGGCUCAACCCCGGCGAGCCGUUGAAACUGGCGGUCUUGAGAUGUCGAGAGGUAUGCGGAAUGCGCAGUGUAGCGGUGAAAUGCUUAGAUAUUGCGCAGAACUCCGAUUGCGAAGGCAGCAUACCGGAGGCGAUCUGACGCUGAGGCACGAAAGCGUGGGUAUCGAACAGGAUUAGAUACCCCUGUAGUC
Molecule: ribosomal RNA, 459 nt
Filed under: uncultured bacterium
Lineage: Bacteria
Description: partial 16S ribosomal RNA
Rfam family: Bacterial small subunit ribosomal RNA
Source: RNAcentral